Molecule: ribosomal RNA, 700 nt
Filed under: uncultured beta proteobacterium
Lineage: Bacteria; Pseudomonadati; Pseudomonadota; Betaproteobacteria
Description: bacterial SSU rRNA
Rfam family: Bacterial small subunit ribosomal RNA
Source: RNAcentral
UGAGUAAUGCAUCGGAACGUGCCCAGUAGUGGGGGAUAGCCCGGCGAAAGCCGGAUUAAUACCGCAUACGACCUAAGGGUGAAAGGGGGGGAUCGCAAGACCUCUCGCUAUUGGAGCGGCCGAUGUCAGAUUAGGUAGUUGGUGGGGUAAAAGCCUACCAAGCCGACGAUCUGUAGCUGGUCUGAGAGGACGACCAGCCACACUGGGACUGAGACACGGCCCAGACUCCUACGGGAGGCAGCAGUGGGGAAUUUUGGACAAUGGGCGCAAGCCUGAUCCAGCCAUGCCGCGUGCGGGAAGAAGGCCUUCGGGUUGUAAACCGCUUUUGUCAGGGAAGAAAUCUUCUGGGUUAAUACCUCGGGAGGAUGACGGUACCUGAAGAAUAAGCACCGGCUAACUACGUGCCAGCAGCCGCGGUAAUACGUAGGGUGCGAGCGUUAAUCGGAAUUACUGGGCGUAAAGCGUGCGCAGGCGGUUAUGCAAGACAGAUGUGAAAUCCCCGGGCUCAACCUGGGAACUGCAUUUGUGACUGCAUAGCUGGAGUGCGGCAGAGGGGGAUGGAAUUCCGCGUGUAGCAGUGAAAUGCGUAGAUAUGCGGAGGAACACCGAUGGCGAAGGCAAUCCCCUGGGCCUGCACUGACGCUCAUGCACGAAAGCGUGGGGAGCGAAAGGGAUUAGAUACCCCUGUAGUCCUAGCCGU